GAUGAACGCUGGCGGCGUGCCUAAUACAUGCAAGUCGAGCGAACGGACGAGAAGCUUGCUUCUCUGAUGUUAGCGGCGGACGGGUGAGUAACACGUGGAUAACCUACCUAUAAGACUGGGAUAACUUCGGGAAACCGGAGCUAAUACCGGAUAAUAUUUUGAACCGCAUGGUUCAAAAGUGAAAGACGGUCUUGCUGUCACUUAUAGAUGGAUCCGCGCUGCAUUAGCUAGUUGGUAAGGUAACGGCUUACCAAGGCAACGAUGCAUAGCCGACCUGAGAGGGUGAUCGGCCACACUGGACCUGAGACACGGUCCAGACUCCUACGGGCGGCAGCAGUAGGGAAUCUUCCGCAAUGGGCGAAAGCCUGACGGAUCAACGCCGCGUGAGUGAUGAAGGUCUUCGGAUCGUAAAACUCUGUUAUUAGGGAAGAACAUAUGUGUAAGUAACUGUGCACAUCUUGACGGUACCUAAUCAGAAAGCCACGGCUAACUACGUG
This 497-nucleotide ribosomal RNA is filed under the name uncultured bacterium. RNAcentral describes it as "partial 16S ribosomal RNA". It matches the Rfam family "Bacterial small subunit ribosomal RNA", at positions 28 to 507 of the family's 1533-position model. The record is from RNAcentral.